Molecule: unclassified non-coding RNA, 320 nt
Filed under: Hevea brasiliensis (rubber tree)
Lineage: Eukaryota; Viridiplantae; Streptophyta; Magnoliopsida; Malpighiales; Euphorbiaceae
Source: RNAcentral
UGGCUGUUGCCAAGAGCAACAGCAACACUGAAUCAUCAUUUUAUACAUCAUGUUGCUAUAAAGUUGCAAACUUGAGUGGGACCAUUUUGGAUGCAAGUCAUACUGCUAAUCUGUAUGAUCGUUACAUUCUUGGAGAACAGCUGGGCUGGGGGCAGUUUGGGAUAAUCAGGACAUGCUCUGACAAGUUUAACGGAGAGGUGUUGGCCUGCAAAUCAAUUGCAAAAAAUAGAUUGGUGACUCAGGAGGAUGUGCGAAGUGUCAAGCUUGAAAUUGAAAUAAUGACCAGGCUUUCUGGCCACCCAAAUGUUGUAGAUCUCAAG